GGGGGCGCUCCGGACCCCAGGCUUCCACAGCCGGGCGGGGAGGAACGCCAGGGCUGAUGAGGACCGAUGGGGCAAUGCUUACCCCAGAGGGUCCGCUGCACUAAGGAGGGGAAUCUCAGGCAUCACCGAGCCGUUUCGGGCAUGAGGCCCCGCCCCAUCCGCCUGCACAAGGCUCCUGCACCCCACUCCCGAGAGCACCUGACUGCCUGACUGGCAGAGGUGGAUGGGAAGAAUGCCGGGCGCGGUGGCUCAUGCCUGUAAUCCCAACACUUUGGGAGGCCGAAAGGGGCGGAUCACCUCAGGUCAUGAGUUCGAGACCAGCCUGGCCAACAUGGUGAAACCCUGUCUCUACUAAAAAUACAAAAAUUAGCCAGGUCCACUGGCGGGCGCCUGUACUCCCAGCUACUCGGGAGGCUGAAGGAGGAGAAUCGCUAGGCUCUGGGAGCCGGCGGUUGCAGUGAGCUGAGAUCAGGCCACUGCACUCCAGCCUGGGCGACAAAGCUAGACUCCAUCUCAAAAAGAAAAAAA
Molecule: long non-coding RNA, 528 nt
Filed under: Homo sapiens (human)
Lineage: Eukaryota; Metazoa; Chordata; Mammalia; Primates; Hominidae
Description: non-protein coding lnc-RITA1-1:2
Source: RNAcentral